Molecule: ribosomal RNA, 354 nt
Filed under: Vibrio parahaemolyticus
Lineage: Bacteria; Pseudomonadati; Pseudomonadota; Gammaproteobacteria; Vibrionales; Vibrionaceae
Description: partial 23S ribosomal RNA
Rfam family: Bacterial large subunit ribosomal RNA
Source: RNAcentral
UGAAUACAUAGGGUAAGGAGGCGAACCGGGGGAACUGAAACAUCUAAGUACCCCGAGGAAAAGAAAUCAACCGAGAUUCCGAAAGUAGCGGCGAGCGAAAUUGGACUAGCCCUUAAGCUUUACACGCGUUAGACGAACGGUCUGGAAAGUCCGACGAUACAGGGUGAUAGUCCCGUAGUUGACGACGUGUGUUCAGUGAAAUCGAGUAGGGCGGGACACGUGAUAUCCUGUCUGAAUAUGGGGGGACCAUCCUCCAAGGCUAAAUACUACUGACUGACCGAUAGUGAACCAGUACCGUGAGGGAAAGGCGAAAAGAACCCCUGUGAGGGGAGUGAAAUAGAACCUGAAACCGUG